UACGGGGGGGGCAAGCGUUGUUCGGAAUUACUGGGCGUAAAGGGCUCGUAGGUGGCCAACUAAGUCAGACGUGAAAUCCCUCAGCUUAACUGGGGAACUGCGUCUGAUACUGGAUGGCUUGAGUUUGGGAGAGGGAUGCGGAAUUCCAGGUGUAGCGGUGAAAUGCGUAGAUAUCUGGAGGAACACCGGUGGCGAAGGCGGUCUCCUGGGGCAUUCUUGACGCUGAGGCGCGAAAGCUGGGGGAGCGAACGGG
RNAcentral lists this ribosomal RNA (253 nucleotides) under uncultured bacterium. RNAcentral's name for it is "partial 16S ribosomal RNA". It matches the Rfam family "Bacterial small subunit ribosomal RNA", at positions 524 to 776 of the family's 1533-position model. The record is from RNAcentral.